GACGAAGGGGGCUAGCGUUGUUCGGAAUUACUGGGCGUAAAGCGCGUGUAGGCGGUUGUCCAAGUUGGAUGUGAAAGCCUUGAGCUCAACUCAAGAAAUGCAUUCAGGACUGGAUGACUAGAGGACCGGAGAGGAUAGUGGAAUUCCCAGUGUAGUGGUGAAAUACGUAGAGAUUGGGAAGAACACCAGUGGCGAAGGCGGCCAUCUGGCUCAACAUUGACGCUGAGGCACGAAAGCGUGGGGAGCAAACAGG
RNAcentral lists this ribosomal RNA (253 nucleotides) under uncultured bacterium. Its description in RNAcentral is "partial 16S ribosomal RNA". It matches the Rfam family "Bacterial small subunit ribosomal RNA", at positions 524 to 776 of the family's 1533-position model. The record is from RNAcentral.